Long non-coding RNA from Cavia porcellus (domestic guinea pig), 190 nucleotides. RefSeq lists it as uncharacterized. NCBI's taxonomy places the organism in Eukaryota, Metazoa, Chordata, Mammalia, Rodentia, Caviidae. The transcript is spliced from 3 exons. The record is from RefSeq and is a predicted model, not a curated record.
GCCAGGCUCAGAAAAGACAAACAGCUCAUGUCCUCCUUAACAGCCUAUGGAUGAGGACACACCUUUGAAGUGGACAUGAAAAUGAGGUUCUGAUGGAUCAGCAUCAUUCACUUCAUGCAAGAAAGAACUUUGUAACCUGUAACAGAUGCACAGUAUUUGUGAAAAAGACAGGAAGAAACCAACAAAGCAG